ACUCCUACGGGAGGCAGCAGUGGGGAAUAUUGCACAAUGGGCGCAAGCCUGAUGCAGCCAUGCCGCGUGUAUGAAGAAGGCCUUCGGGUUGUAAAGUACUUUCAGCAGUGAGGAAGGUGGGUAUGUUAAUAGCAUAUUCUAUUUGUACGUUAGCUGCAGAAGAAGCACCGGCUAACUCCGUGCCAGCAGCCGCGGUAAUACGGAGGGUGCGAGCGUUAAUCGGAAUUACUGGGCGUAAAGCGCAUGCAGGUGGUUGUUAAGUCAGAUGUGAAAGCCCGGGGCUCAACCUCGGAAUUGCAUUUGAAACUGGCAAACUAGAGUACUGGUAGAGGGGGUUA
RNAcentral lists this ribosomal RNA (338 nucleotides) under uncultured bacterium. Its description in RNAcentral is "bacterial SSU rRNA". It matches the Rfam family "Bacterial small subunit ribosomal RNA", at positions 335 to 664 of the family's 1533-position model. The record is from RNAcentral.